GGAAAGAUGAAAAGAACUUUGAAAAGAGAGUUAAACAGUACGUGAAAUUGUUGAAAGGGAAACGAUUGAAGUCAGUCAUACCAACGGGAAAUCAACCUUUUGAGUUUGGUCUUGUGGGUUUCGGAGAGUUUAAAAGCCUUCGGAUUCGUUAGGAUUGGGUUCUUUUGGUGUACUUUCUCGUAAGGUUAGUCAACAUCGGUUUUGAAUGUCAUAAAAUGACUGGAGGAAUGUGGCUUCGAUCUCGUAUCGAAGUGUUAUAGCCUUUGGUAGAUGUGAUGUUCGAGUCCGAGGAUUGCAAUGGAUACCCUUCUGGGCUAUUCGUCUGAUCUCUGAUACGUUGCCUUGAUGUCGAAAGCUUGCUUAUGAUGUUAGGGUAUUACGGUCAAAAGGUUAGAACGGAUUAAAUUCGUUAAGGAUGUUGACGUAAUGACUUUAAACGACCCGUCUUGAAACACGGACCA
RNAcentral lists this ribosomal RNA (461 nucleotides) under Septoglomus constrictum. Its description in RNAcentral is "LSU rRNA". It matches the Rfam family "Eukaryotic large subunit ribosomal RNA", at positions 358 to 668 of the family's 3401-position model. The record is from RNAcentral. Lineage: Eukaryota; Fungi; Glomeromycota; Glomeromycetes; Glomerales; Glomeraceae.